Molecule: ribosomal RNA, 478 nt
Filed under: uncultured bacterium
Lineage: Bacteria
Description: partial 16S ribosomal RNA
Rfam family: Bacterial small subunit ribosomal RNA
Source: RNAcentral
GAUGAACGCUGGCGGCGUGCUUAACACAUGCAAGUCGAACGAGAAGUGAAGACGGAAACCUUCGGGCGGAAGGCUUUAUUUCGAGUGGCGGACGGGUGAGUAACGCGUGGGUAACCUGCCUCAUACAGGGGGAUAACAGUUGGAAACGACUGUUAAUACCGCAUAAGACCACAGCACCGCAUGGUGCGGGGGUAAAAACUCCGGUGGUAUGAGAUGGACCCGCGUUCGAUUAGCCAGUUGGCGGGGUAACGGCCCACCAAAGCGACGAUCGAUAGCCGAUCUGAGAGGAUGACCGGCCACAUUGGGACUGAGACACGGCCCAAACUCCUACGGGAGGCAGCAGUGGGGAAUAUUGCACAAUGGGGGAAGACCUGAUGCAGCGACGCCGCGUGAGUGAAGAAGUAUUUCGGUAUGUAAAGCUCUAUCAGCAGGGAAGAAAAUGACGGUACCUGAGUAAGAAGCCCCGGCUAACUACGUG